GCCACCGUAGCCUAGCCCGGCAGGGCGCCCGCCUUGUAAGCGGGAGGUCCCGGGUUCGAAUCCCGGCGGUGGCUCCA
This 77-nucleotide transfer RNA is filed under the name Thermoplasmata archaeon. RNAcentral's name for it is "tRNA-Thr". It matches the Rfam family "tRNA". From Rfam's summary of the family: Transfer RNA (tRNA) molecules are approximately 80 nucleotides in length. Their secondary structure includes four short double-helical elements and three loops (D, anti-codon, and T loops). Further hydrogen bonds mediate the characteristic L-shaped molecular structure. tRNAs have two regions of fundamental functional importance: the anti-codon, which is responsible for specific mRNA codon recognition, and the 3' end, to which the tRNAs corresponding amino acid is attached (by aminoacyl-tRNA synthetases). tRNAs cope with the degeneracy of the genetic code in two manners: having more than one tRNA (with a specific anti-codon) for a particular amino acid; and 'wobble' base-pairing, i.e. permitting non-standard base-pairing at the 3rd anti-codon position. Lineage: Archaea; Methanobacteriati; Thermoplasmatota; Thermoplasmata. The record is from RNAcentral. RNAcentral also lists the same sequence under 2 other names.